CCGAAAAAAGGUGCAGGUCACAAAGAAGUUCAGACUCGUAAUUGUUGCGAAGUGACAGUUUGUCACAAAGCCAAAAGACAGCAAGCUCUCAAAAUGAGUUGGGGUUUCGGAUUUGGGUAUCCAGUUGGUCUGAGUUAUUAUUCAGAAGCUCAUCUGGUUCGCUCGUCCUUUGCUUUUCUUUGUCUGUGUCCCGUGGACUUUCGAAUUAUUUCAGGCAGAAGAAUGUUUCAAUGUAAUUAUGUGGGAAAUACACUUUGCCAUAAGGUAUGUGUGGCAUACUCGUAUUUUAAAUCAAGCAGCCACAUUGACUUAAUUGAUGAAUGCCCCUUUACCCACUCUGUAGAUAAUCUCAUUUCCAGAUAAAUCAUUUAAUUGCAGUUUUCCGACUUUGCCAUUGUUUUUGCGGCUGAUGUAAUGGAUAAAUUUGCAUAUCGCCCUGGAGGCGAAUGCGCAACUUUUAGGGCCAUUAAAUGCACUUUUAAUUAUUAUUAUUUCACCCGAUGCAAGCUUAUCACCUUCUCGCUUGGCCAAUUUCGCGUUUAUAAUGUGUUCACUUUUCGCCAUUAAACGGAACAAGUAAUGGACCAAUAAAAAUGCAUGCGACAAUUUUCGACUAAUGUUAACCAUAAAACCGUAACGUAACGGACGAAAACAAACAGAAGCCAAGAAGCAAACAGAUGGGUGGUGUAUUUUCUCGGGCGCUAAUUAAAAUAUACAAGCCACAGUACAGCAGCCACAAUGCGUCAAAUGUGGCGUAUACGUAAUGUGUAAUUAAACACACGCACACACAUAUGUAAGUACGGAAGCGAAGAGGGGAAAAGGACUAUCCGGGGGGUAUUCCCCGUUUUCUCGGUUCGUGCGAACGCCUAAUUGAAUGUAAGCAACAAGGAGGACAAUAUCAAAAUGUGUCUGGCUCUGCUGAUCCUGUUUGAUGCCGCAGCACGUAGCGUUGAUGUUUUGUGCGUUUUGGACCCACCAAAAAAAAAAAAAGAGGCAGCAUCAACGCUCAGGAAUGCGUAGAAGGCAGUAAGUUAAAUUAAAAUUUCAUGGCUUCCCGUGCCCGUGGAUUCGCUUUCAUCUCAUUGGCUCCUUCUGCUCUUUGGUAAUCAAAUCAGCGACAGUUUCGUGUGUAAAGGAAAUGCCACGGAAUCCGGGUGAAUAAAUCUGCUUCAGCAGAUUGUCUGCUUUUCCAGGCGACUUAAUGCAGGCAGAUCGGAUUAUCAAGUAUACGAAUUUCGAGGUAAUUGAAGCCAUUUAAAUUUUAUUGCAAGCAUUUUAUUUGCGUAAAAUAAUUACUAUCACGGAAAACGCAUUUGCUGAGCCAAACAAAUAUUUAAAUAUUAACGAGUGACAAACUCCAAAUUUUCACACCAAAUGCCAACGUUUAUUUUUUGUCAUUAAAAUCAUCAUUAAAUUUAACUAUCCUUA
Molecule: long non-coding RNA, 1428 nt
Organism: Drosophila yakuba
Lineage: Eukaryota; Metazoa; Arthropoda; Insecta; Diptera; Drosophilidae
Exons: 2
Source: RefSeq, a predicted model, not a curated record